Myotis brandtii (Brandt's bat) is the source of this 302-nucleotide long non-coding RNA. RefSeq lists it as uncharacterized. NCBI's taxonomy places the organism in Eukaryota, Metazoa, Chordata, Mammalia, Chiroptera, Vespertilionidae. The transcript is spliced from 2 exons. The record is from RefSeq and is a predicted model, not a curated record.
CUCUGGGCCCUUCGGGCAGAUCUUCCGGCCGGACAACUUCGUCUUCGGUCAGAGUGGUGCCGGCAACAACUGGGCCAAGGGGCACUACACGGAGGGCGCCGAGCUCGUGGACUCCGUCCUGGACGUCGUGCGGAAGGAGGCUGAGAGCUGCGACUGCCUGCAGGGGCACCUACUACCGGAAGCGUGAGAACUCUUUAUUCACUCUCAGUCUGUCCUCAUGAUCCUGUCUCACUGUGUGCACUGCUCUUCUUCCUGUCUUGACAUCUGAGUUGUACAGACACCAUUAAAGCAUUUUCAUAGUG